Molecule: ribosomal RNA, 253 nt
Filed under: uncultured bacterium
Lineage: Bacteria
Description: partial 16S ribosomal RNA
Rfam family: Bacterial small subunit ribosomal RNA
Source: RNAcentral
UACAGAGACUGCAAGCGUUAUUCGGAUUCACUGGGCGUAAAGGGUGCGCAGGCGGUUGAAUGUGUGGAACGUGAAAGCUUGGGGCUUAACCUCAGAACGGCGAUCUAAACUAUUCAACUAGAGCAUUGAAGAGAGUAGCAGAAUUCACGGUGUAGCAGUGAAAUGCGUAGAUAUCGUGAGGAAUACCAGAGGCGAAGGCGGCUACUUGGACAAUGGCUGACGCUCAGGCACGAAAGCGUGGGGAGCAAAAGGG